This is a long non-coding RNA of Aplysia californica (California sea hare), 240 nucleotides long. RefSeq lists it as uncharacterized. The record is from RefSeq and is a predicted model, not a curated record. Lineage: Eukaryota; Metazoa; Mollusca; Gastropoda; Aplysiida; Aplysiidae. The transcript has 4 exons.
AUUAUCAUCCUCUUUCCCUUUCAGAGGCGUCCACACUGCAGGUCCGAGGCCCAACCUCCAGACCAGACUCCACGAUCCUGAUUGUGGACAACAGCGAGCUCUACGGGACGUCAGGGAGCGUAGCAGCUACAGAACAGAAAGGGGAUCGAAAUGACAAUGAGGCUCUUCCAGAUCUCCUGUGCAGUAGGGCGGCUAAUCCUCCCUUCCGGGGUCACGCAGGUAAACUCAAACUUUGUUUGU